CGGAGGGUGCGAGUCGUGUUCGGAUUUAUUGGGCGUAAAGGGCGCGCAGGCGGUUUUCCAAGUCUGAUGUGAAAGCCCCGGGCUUACCCCGGGAAGUGCAUUGGAAACUGGGAGACUUGAGUACGGAAGAGGAGAGUGGAAUUCCUGGAGUAGGGGUGAAAUCCAUAGAUAUCAGGAAGAAGACCGGUGGCGAAGGCGGCUCUCUGAUACGAUACUGACGCUGAGGCGCGAAAGCAUGGGGAGCAAACAGGAUUAGAUACCCUGGUAGUCCAUGCCGUAAACGAUGAGAACUAGGUGUUGCGGGUAUUGACCCCUGCAGUGCCGCAGCUAACGCAUUAAGUUCUCCGCCUGGGAAGUACGGUCGCAAGACUA
Molecule: ribosomal RNA, 372 nt
Filed under: uncultured organism
Description: bacterial SSU rRNA
Rfam family: Bacterial small subunit ribosomal RNA
Source: RNAcentral